UGGGGAAUUUUGGACAAUGGGGGCAACCCUGAUCCAGCCAUUCCGCGUGAGUGAAGAAGGCCUUCGGGUUGUAAAGCUCUUUUGUCCGGAACGAAACGGUGAGCGUGAAUAUCGCUCGCUACUGACGGUACCGGAAGAAUGAGCACCGGCUAACUACGUGCCAGCAGCCGCGGUAAUACGUAGGGUGCGAGCGUUAAUCGGAAUUACUGGGCGUAAAGCGUGCGCAGGCGGUUUUGUAAGCCAGAUGUGAAAUCCCCGGGCUUAACCUGGGAAUGGCAUUUGGGACUGCAAGGCUGGAGUUUGGCAGAGGAGACUGGAAUUCCCGGUGUAGCAGUGAAAUGCGUAGAUAUCGGGAGGAAUACCGAUGGCGAAGGCAGGUCUCUGGGCUAUAACUGACGCUCAUGCACGAAAGCGUGGGGAGCAAACAGGAUUAGAUACCCUGGUAGUCCACGCCCUAAACGAUGUCGACUGGUUGUUGGGGGUUUGACACUCUCAGUAACGAAGCUAACGCGUGAAGUCGACCGCCUGGGGAGUACGGCCGCAAGGUUAA
Molecule: ribosomal RNA, 550 nt
Filed under: uncultured beta proteobacterium
Lineage: Bacteria; Pseudomonadati; Pseudomonadota; Betaproteobacteria
Description: bacterial SSU rRNA
Rfam family: Bacterial small subunit ribosomal RNA
Source: RNAcentral